GUCUAUGGCCAUGCCAUCCUGAACGUGCCCGAUCUCGUCUGAUCUCAGAAGCUAAGCAGAGUCAGACCUGCUUAGUACUUGGAUGGGAGACCACCCAGGAAGACCAGAUGCUGUAGGCG
RNAcentral lists this ribosomal RNA (119 nucleotides) under Pteropus alecto (black flying fox). The record is from RNAcentral. Lineage: Eukaryota; Metazoa; Chordata; Mammalia; Chiroptera; Pteropodidae.